Molecule: ribosomal RNA, 465 nt
Filed under: uncultured bacterium
Lineage: Bacteria
Description: partial 16S ribosomal RNA
Rfam family: Bacterial small subunit ribosomal RNA
Source: RNAcentral
CCUACGGGUGGCAGCAGUAGGGAAUCUUCCACAAUGGACGAAAGUCUGAUGGAGCAACGCCGCGUGAGUGAAGAAGGGUUUCGGCUCGUAAAGCUCUGUUGGUAGUGAAGAAAGAUAGAGGUAGUAACUGGCCCUGAUGUGACGGUAAUGACUUAGAAAGUCACGGCUAACUACUAGCCAGCAGGCGGGGUAAUACGUAGGUGGCAAGCGUUGUCCGGAUUUAGUGGGCGUAAAGCGAGUGCAGGCGGUUCAAUAAGUCUGAUGUGACAGCCGUCGGCUCAACCGGAGAAUUGCAUCAGAAACUGUUGAACUUCCGUGCAGAAGAUGAGAGUGGAACUCCAUGUGUAGCGGUGGAAUGCGUAGAUAUAGGGAAGAACACCCGUGGCGAAGGCGGCUCUCUGGGCUGCAACUGACGCUGCGGCUCGAAAGCAUGGGUAGCGAACAGGAUUAGAUACCCCAGUAGUC